Molecule: ribosomal RNA, 456 nt
Filed under: Tamlana sp. ini30
Lineage: Bacteria; Pseudomonadati; Bacteroidota; Flavobacteriia; Flavobacteriales; Flavobacteriaceae
Description: bacterial SSU rRNA
Rfam family: Bacterial small subunit ribosomal RNA
Source: RNAcentral
UGCUUUUUUGAUGACGACCGGCGCACGGGUGCGUAACGCGUAUGCAAUCUACCUUUUGCUACUGGAUAGCCCAGAGAAAUUUGGAUUAACACAGUAUAGUAUCAUAUUACUGCAUGGUAUUUAUGAUUAAAGGCUACGGCAGAAGAUGAGCAUGCGUCCUAUUAGCUAGUUGGUGUGGUAACGGCAUACCAAGGCAACGAUAGGUAGGGGCCCUGAGAGGGGGAUCCCCCACACUGGUACUGAGACACGGACCAGACUCCUACGGGAGGCAGCAGUGAGGAAUAUUGGACAAUGGAGGCAACUCUGAUCCAGCCAUGCCGCGUGCAGGAUGACUGCCCUAUGGGUUGUAAACUGCUUUUAUACAGGAAGAAACCGCUCUACGUGUAGAGCUCUGACGGUACUGUAAGAAUAAGGAUCGGCUAACUCCGUGCCAGCAGCCGCGGUAAUACGGAGGAU